This 550-nucleotide ribosomal RNA is filed under the name uncultured Carnobacteriaceae bacterium. RNAcentral describes it as "bacterial SSU rRNA". It matches the Rfam family "Bacterial small subunit ribosomal RNA", at positions 67 to 596 of the family's 1533-position model. The record is from RNAcentral. Lineage: Bacteria; Bacillati; Bacillota; Bacilli; Lactobacillales; Carnobacteriaceae.
UUUCUAUGGAAGCUUGCUUCCACUGAGAAGAUAGUGGCGGACGGGUGAGUAACACGUGGGUAACCUGCCCAUAAGAGGGGGAUAACAUCCGGAAACGGGUGCUAAUACCGCAUAGUUUUCUUGGUCGCAUGAUCGAGAAAGGAAAGACGGCCUUUGUGCUGUCGCUUAUGGAUGGACCCGCGGCGUAUUAGUUAGUUGGUGAGGUAACGGCUCACCAAGACGAUGAUACGUAGCCGACCUGAGAGGGUGAUCGGCCACAUUGGGACUGAGACACGGCCCAAACUCCUACGGGAGGCAGCAGUAGGGAAUCUUCCGCAAUGGACGAAAGUCUGACGGAGCAACGCCGCGUGAGUGAAGAAGGUUUUCGGAUCGUAAAACUCUGUUGUCAGAGAAGAACAAGUCGGAGAGUAACUGCUCCGGCCUUGACGGUAUCUGACCAGAAAGCCACGGCUAACUACGUGCCAGCAGCCGCGGUAAUACGUAGGUGGCAAGCGUUGUCCGGAUUUAUUGGGCGUAAAGCGAGCGCAGGCGGUUCCUUAAGUCUGAUGUG